This 278-nucleotide ribosomal RNA is filed under the name uncultured bacterium. Its description in RNAcentral is "partial 16S ribosomal RNA". It matches the Rfam family "Bacterial small subunit ribosomal RNA", at positions 29 to 334 of the family's 1533-position model. The record is from RNAcentral.
AACGAACGCUGGCGGCAGGCUUAACACAUGCAAGUCGAACGAACUCUUCGGAGUUAGUGGCAGACGGGUGAGUAACGCGUGGGAACCUACCUUUAGGUACGGAACAACAGUUGGAAACGACUGCUAAUACCGUAUGAGCCCUAUGGGGGAAAGAUUUAUCGCCUAAGGAUGGGCCCGCGUUGGAUUAGCUAGUUGGUGGGGUAAAGGCCUACCAAGGCGACGAUCCAUAGCUGGUCUGAGAGGAUGAUCAGCCACACUGGGACUGAGACACGGCCCAG